UCGCUCCCUUAUCUCACUCUCCUACAUGGUAAAUUUCCCUCUUUUCUUCUUAAAAAGAGUUGGGACCCCUAGAGAGCCUCCUCCCCAAACGUGUGCCUAGUGCGUGCACGGAUAUGCCUACCUCCAAAUGGUUUUAUGCCCACCGUGAGGAGGGACAAAGGGCACCAACGAGCCUAGAGCCUACUCCCAACCAUUCUUUCCUAAACUUUUACUGGCCAGCCGGACCCAAGACAGAUGAAGGCAGAGCACAGGCAUCUUUAAGGCGUCUGCAUACACAGGAGGAAGUCAGAAGGGAGAGGGAGAGCGCUGAAAGGCAGAGGCCCUGCUGUGGUGGCUCCGGGUUGUACCUCUAGACGCUCCCACUGGAUCCCCACGUGCUCCAAAAAUGGGAGGCAGAGACUCCGGCGAAAGCUUUUUAUAUCUACGAGCUCCGCUCUCUACAGUGAGCAGAAGAAGGCGGAGGGAGGGGGUUCCUAGAAAGGAUGCGCAUCACCCAGGUUUUACUGCUGGCUGGAAGGCUGUGUGAGAUGCCCUAAGCAGCUGGGGCGGUCAGGACCGCAGCGGCGACAACAGUGGCCAAGUCUGCCUGUCAUUUCUGCCUUCGGAUCUCCGGCAAGUCAGGAAAAAAUAAAUAAAUAAAACACAGCUGGCCCGCGGGAGCAAAAUACCCAGGUCAGUGAAUAUCGUUA
This is a long non-coding RNA of Herpailurus yagouaroundi (jaguarundi), 689 nucleotides long. RefSeq lists it as uncharacterized. The transcript has 2 exons. The record is from RefSeq and is a predicted model, not a curated record. NCBI's taxonomy places the organism in Eukaryota, Metazoa, Chordata, Mammalia, Carnivora, Felidae.